This 749-nucleotide long non-coding RNA is filed under the name Phascolarctos cinereus (koala). RNAcentral describes it as "lncRNA (ENSPCIG00000014714.2)". Lineage: Eukaryota; Metazoa; Chordata; Mammalia; Diprotodontia; Phascolarctidae. The record is from RNAcentral.
CCCCAUUCUAGCAAUCUCUGAUGAGAUGUUAAGAUUUAGAAAGUCAUCAUGCAGUCUGGAGUUGUCUCUUUUGAAAUGAGAGUUGUAUAAGAAUGAAGAAUUCUAUUACUCUUCUGUUUUCACGUCCAAGAAAAAAGGAACUCAACUAAGAAUGCCCCUGUAGGGCCUACAUCACUGUCUUCUGUCUACAGACCUCCUCCUUUUGAGGACAUUUUCUCUCAACUCAUUUUGCUGGGAGCUCCUAAAUAUCUCUCAAGUUGUUAUUAUGAAACUGCUAUCAAGUUAAAGUGGACAGAUAAAGAGGAUGGGGACUUGACCUGUGAUUUCAUUGAUAUAGAGAAAUCUCCUCACUGUUGCAGGUCAGCACCCCCACACUGAACUUAAAGUCUAAGAGUUACCUGAGGCGCAGAGAACUUAAGUGACUUGCCCAGGAUCACACAGUCAGUAUGUGUUAGAGGAAGGACUUGAACCCAGGUUUCCUUGUCCCUGAAACCAGUUCUCUGCUUUCUAUAGUUCAUAGUUACCCCCUCAGCACCACCAAGUCUCACUUUCUAAGCCACCACCUAUUCUGCGCUUACAGAAACAUAUCUGGGUUCUUUAAGGUCAGCAAUGACUCCUGUAAUAUCGAUCAAUGAGCAAACAUUUAUUAGGCACCUACUAUGAGCUAGGCACUGUGCUAAGCACAAAGGAUACAGAAAGUGGCAAAAGACAGUCCCUGCCUUCAAGGGACUUACAAGCUAAGAGGAGCA